Molecule: ribosomal RNA, 692 nt
Filed under: Lopadium pezizoideum
Lineage: Eukaryota; Fungi; Ascomycota; Lecanoromycetes; Lecanorales; Lopadiaceae
Description: SSU rRNA
Rfam family: Bacterial small subunit ribosomal RNA
Source: RNAcentral
CARCAGUCGCGGUAAUACGUANAARACCAGUGUUAUUCAUCUUUAAUAGGUUUAAAGGGUACUCAVACNGCAGGAGUGGCCUUCAGGACAAGCAUACAUAUGUAUGGUACACCACCAGAGGUGGUGUAUGACACCACUUUGCUAGAGUUAAAUAUAUAUUUACCUUAAUGGACGUACUAACGGUGUAGAGAUGAAAUUCUUUGAUACCAUCCUAGGACUGGUAAGGGCGAAGGCAGCGAAUUAUGUAAUAACUGACGUUAAAGGACGAAGGCCUCGACGCAGCAAAUGGGAUUAGAUACCCCAGUAGUACAGCGCAGAAAAUGAUGAGUGUCAUAUAAUAGAUUUUUCUGUUGUAUAAAUGAAAGUGUAAGCACUCCACCUCAAGAGUAAUUUGGCAACAUUGGAACUGAAAUCAUUAGACCGUUUCUGAAACCAGUAGUGAAGUAUGUUGUUUAAUUAGAUGUUCCGCAAAAAACCUUACCACAAUUUGAAUAUAGAAGUUAUAAUUUUUGUACAAGCGCUGCACGGCUGUCUUCAGUUGAUGUCGUGAGAUUUUGGUUAGUUCCAUUAAAUCAACGUAAACCCUUACUUUAUUUUUUUAUAAAGUAGUUCACCGCUAUAAAGGAAACGAUAAUAGGGACUAAGACAAGUCAUCAUGGCCUUAAUAUUGUGGGCUAUAGACGUGCCACAUA